UACGGAGGGAGCUAGCGUUGUUCGGAAUUACUGGGCGUAAAGCGCACGUAGGCGGCUACUCAAGUCGGGGGUGAAAGCCCGGGGCUCAACCCCGGAACUGCCCUCGAAACUAGGUAGCUAGAAUCUUGGAGAGGUCAGUGGAAUUCCGAGUGUAGAGGUGAAAUUCGUAGAUAUUCGGAAGAACACCAGUGGCGAAGGCGGCUCACUGGACUGGUAUUGAGCGCUGAGGUGCGAAAGCGUGGGGAGCAAACAGGG
This 255-nucleotide ribosomal RNA is filed under the name uncultured bacterium. RNAcentral's name for it is "partial 16S ribosomal RNA". It matches the Rfam family "Bacterial small subunit ribosomal RNA", at positions 524 to 777 of the family's 1533-position model. The record is from RNAcentral.